UGUGGGUGAAGUUCCAGUAUACAUUCUUCCAGGACCUAUAGGGUGUUCUGGGGAGGGCCUUUGAGUUGGAAGUCAGAUCUGAUUCAACCUGUAAACAGCCUCCCAUCCACAGCAGCACACUACCUGUUGACAUAUUUUCCCUGGGGAGGGACAGGGAGUUGACUGGAACUCAAGCUUUGGAUCUUCCUGUGUGAAGCAGCUGUAAUUGGUGCAGGACAUCAGGACAUAGCAGUGGGCGCUAGCAUGAAACAAGUACAAAAACAAGCUCUGACUCAGGAAUGGAAGGAAGCCCCUGUCAGCAUGAUCAGGGAGGGGCUGAAGAGCUUCUUAGAGCUGACUGCCUGGCCCAGAGAAAGAAGAUGAUGCCUCUGUCCCCGUGACCUUGAGGGCACCCGUACAGGCCCUGUGGCCUCUGUCAGCAGAGCGCAGCAUGGACGCUCCUAUAGGCUCACUGCCCCUGACUCAGCCUUCAGAUGCCUCAGAAGGCUUUGGGGCCCCCACUCAGUUAUUUUCUCCUUGGUGCUGGAAGUCUCC
Molecule: long non-coding RNA, 534 nt
Filed under: Marmota monax (woodchuck)
Lineage: Eukaryota; Metazoa; Chordata; Mammalia; Rodentia; Sciuridae
Source: RNAcentral